RNAcentral lists this ribosomal RNA (601 nucleotides) under bacterium PQS-8. RNAcentral's name for it is "bacterial SSU rRNA". It matches the Rfam family "Bacterial small subunit ribosomal RNA", at positions 56 to 640 of the family's 1533-position model. The record is from RNAcentral.
UGCAGUCGAGCGAUGGAUUGAGAGCUUGCUCUUAUGAAGUUAGCGGCGGACGGGUGAGUAACACGUGGGUAACCUGCCCAUAAGACUGGGAUAACUCCGGGAAACCGGGGCUAAUACCGGAUAACAUUUUGAACUGCAUGGUUCGAAAUUGAAAGGCGGCUUCGGCUGUCACUUAUGGAUGGACCCGCGUCGCAUUAGCUAGUUGGUGAGGUAACGGCUCACCAAGGCAACGAUGCGUAGCCGACCUGAGAGGGUGAUCGGCCACACUGGGACUGAGACACGGCCCAGACUCCUACGGGAGGCAGCAGUAGGGAAUCUUCCGCAAUGGACGAAAGUCUGACGGAGCAACGCCGCGUGAGUGAUGAAGGCUUUCGGGUCGUAAAACUCUGUUGUUAGGGAAGAACAAGUGCUAGUUGAAUAAGCUGGCACCUUGACGGUACCUAACCAGAAAGCCACGGCUAACUACGUGCCAGCAGCCGCGGUAAUACGUAGGUGGCAAGCGUUAUCCGGAAUUAUUGGGCGUAAAGCGCGCGCAGGUGGUUUCUUAAGUCUGAUGUGAAAGCCCACGGCUCAACCGUGGAGGGUCAUUGGAACUGGGAGA